CAGUAGCCACGGAAAUACGUAGGGUGCGAGCGUUAAUCGGAAUUACUGGGCGUAAAGCGUGCGCAGGCGGUUAUAUAAGACAGAUGUGAAAUCCCCGGGCUCAACCUGGGACCUGCAUUUGUGACUGUAUAGCUAGAGUACGGUAGAGGGGGAUGGAAUUCCGCGUGUAGCAGUGAAAUGCGUAGAUAUGCGGAGGAACACCGAUGGCGAAGGCAAUCCCCUGGACCUGUACUGGCGCUCAUGCACGAAAGCGUGGGGAGCAAACAGGAUUAGAUACCCGCGUAGUCCCUGUCUCUUAUAC
This 301-nucleotide ribosomal RNA is filed under the name uncultured bacterium. Its description in RNAcentral is "partial 16S ribosomal RNA". It matches the Rfam family "Bacterial small subunit ribosomal RNA", at positions 509 to 807 of the family's 1533-position model. The record is from RNAcentral.